RNAcentral lists this long non-coding RNA (447 nucleotides) under Salmo salar (Atlantic salmon). RNAcentral describes it as "lncRNA (ENSSSAG00000104330.1)". Lineage: Eukaryota; Metazoa; Chordata; Actinopteri; Salmoniformes; Salmonidae. The record is from RNAcentral.
AGCUGUUGGAUGUGGAGCCUGGCUCUGGGGACUGGAGGAACUCAUAGGUCAGCUGUUGGCUGUGGAGCCUGGCUCUGGGGACUGGAGGAACUCAUAGGUCAGCUGUUGGAUGUGGAGCCUGGCUCUGGGGACUGGAGGAACUCAUAGGUCAGCUGUUGGAUGUGGAGCCUGGCUCUGGAGACUGGAGGAACUCAUAGGUCAGCUGUUGGAUGUGGAGCCUGGCUCUGGGGACUGGAGGAACUCAUAGGUCAGCUGUUGGAUGUGGAGCCUGGCUCUGGGGACUGGAGGAACUCAUAGGUCAGCUGUUGGAUGUGGAGCCUGGCUCAGGAGACUGGAGGAACUCAUAGGUCAGCUGUUGGAUGUGGAGCCUGGCUCUGGGGACUGGAGGAACUCAUAGGUCAGCUGUUGGAUGUGGAGCCUGGCUCUGGGGACUGGAGGAACUCAUAG